UACGUAGGGUGCAAGCGUUAAUCGGAAUUACUGGGCGUAAAGCGUGCGCAGGCGGUGAUGCAAGACAGAUGUGAAAUCCCCGGGCUUAACCUGGGAACUGCAUUUGUGACUGCAUUGCUGGAGUGCGGCAGAGGGGGAUGGAAUUCCGCGUGUAGCAGUGAAAUGCGUAGAUAUCAGGAGGAAUACCGAUGGCGAAGGCAGGUCUCUGGGCUGACACUGACGCUCAUGCACGAAAGCGUGGGGAGCAAACAGG
Molecule: ribosomal RNA, 253 nt
Filed under: uncultured bacterium
Lineage: Bacteria
Description: partial 16S ribosomal RNA
Rfam family: Bacterial small subunit ribosomal RNA
Source: RNAcentral